GUGACCUGGCUUUGUUCUCAGCAGGGCCUAGGUCAGAAGCUCCCUUCCCUGCUGUCUUUACACAGAUGUUAGCCCUGUGGAGACAGAACUCCAGGUGAUUGGACCAUAGGUGGACAUCUGACCCUAAGGAAAGCAGUCAUUUGAAGGCAGAAUCAGCUACACUGAAAAGCGAGUCCCUGUCUCAAAAAAACAAAACAAACAAGCAAAUAAUCAGCUACACUGUCUUCCAGGACUUUAGACAAAGAAAGAAAGAGGCACAUUGAAGGCAAUAAAUGAAAAGAUCUCAAUAAAGUCUUUGGCACAAUGUCUGACAGGAUCAAUAACUUCUUCAUCUUCACCUUCACAUCAUCAUCAAUGCCACAGAGAAGAGUAGCCAGAGAGAGUUAUGAUGCGGACCCAGUCCUGCUGCUAGGAAGGAGAUUUAAUCAUAAGCCACCCACUUGAUCGUGAACUGGGUUCUCAUAAGAAUAUCUUCCCCUCACUUUUAAGGAAAACUUAUGGAUCCUUUGCAAAUGAGAAGGAGACAAAGGGACAGAGGGAAGAGGGCAGGCAGGGAGGGGACAGGAAGGGUGAGUAAAAAGAACUAAGAUGUGUUAUGGACAUGUUCCAGCG
This is a long non-coding RNA of Heterocephalus glaber (naked mole-rat), 612 nucleotides long. Lineage: Eukaryota; Metazoa; Chordata; Mammalia; Rodentia; Bathyergidae. The record is from Ensembl.